UGGGGAAUAUUGGACAAUGGGGGCAACACUGAUCCAGCCAUGCCGCGUGUGUGAAGAAGGCCCUCGGGUUGUAAAGCACUUUCAGCGAGGAAGAACGCCUAGCGGUUAAUACCCAUUAGGAAAGACAUCACUCGCAGAAGAAGCACCGGCUAAUUCCGUGCCAGCAGCCGCGGUAAUACGGAGGGUGCAAGCGUUAAUCGGAAUUACUGGGCGUAAAGCGCGCGUAGGUGGCUUGAUAAGCCGGUUGUGAAAGCCCCGGGCUCAACCUGGGAACGGCAUCCGGAACUGUCAAGCUAGAGUGCAGGAGAGGAAGGUAGAAUUCCCGGUGUAGCGGUGAAAUGCGUAGAGAUCGGGAGGAAUACCAGUGGCGAAGGCGGCCUUCUGGACUGACACUGACACUGAGGUGCGAAAGCGUGGGUAGCAAACAGGAUUAGAUACCCAAGUAGUCCCUGAGCGGGCUGGCAAGGCGCAU
RNAcentral lists this ribosomal RNA (472 nucleotides) under uncultured bacterium. RNAcentral's name for it is "bacterial SSU rRNA". It matches the Rfam family "Bacterial small subunit ribosomal RNA", at positions 355 to 825 of the family's 1533-position model. The record is from RNAcentral.